UUCUGUUUCCUGCAAUUACAUCACAAGAGCUGUGUUGCGGUAGGUGUUCUCCAUGUGAUGUUUAAGCGUGAGUUUCCUUUAAGUGUCUACAAUCUGAACAUCCUCUUGGAGGGUUUAUGCAAGAAUCUGGAAUACGGCAAGACUGUUAUUUUGCUACGAGAGGUAAGGUUGAGUUCUCCGGCGUCGGAUGCUGUUAGCUACAUGAAUGUUAUAAAGGCUUAUGCGAGGGGAAAUAGUUGGAGAAAGCAUUGGAAUUGUUGAAUGAUAUGCAAGGCAUCCAAAAUAAGCAUUUAUGUAAGUGUCUCGCCCUUUCACCACAUCGUAAUUAAUAAGCUCGAUUUUUUUUUCCAAAAUAAUCCCUAGGUUCCAGACAUCCGAGUUGGACUCUGAUACCAGAGCAAAUUAGGACCAUGUGGCUCAAAUGUUUUGCGGUAACCUUCUAUAUAUAUUUAAAAUUGUUCUAAUAUUAUUUUUUAUUUUCUUUGUUUCAGAAAAAUUGGAAUUGGUCCAUAGCGAUCAACAAGAAGGUGAAGGCGUCUUUUGCUGCUGAGGUGAAGGUAUGCUUAGCAAACACUGUCUCACACUGGAAGGACCAGCCUCACAAAGGAAGUAUGGUAUUGGCUCAUCUGGUAUUGGACCAAACCCCACUCUGUCUGAGACGCAGAAAAGUGCUCCGCUUCCCGUAUGAUGAGAGAUGAGCACAGUAAUUUACCGAUGCUUCACACUACCGAGAAAAAAUACCAUGCUGGGCGAAAAGACAUGAAUAAUACCAUCUCUUUUGGAGAUUUUCGAGAAGACACAUAGAACACAGUGUGGGAGUUUUCUGGAUCCUAGGUCAGAAAAGAUCUACAAUGACGUCACUGCUCGGAUUGAGGAGCUCUAGACGCAGCUGAUCUAGCAGUCUCCGGAUGGGUUGCCCAUCACACAGAUGCAGAGGGUUUGUAUCUUAAACGGCAGGAACUCUGGAUUUUAGAUCCACCAGCCCAUUCCGCGGAUGAAGAGGCGGAGGUAGGGAGAAGGAGCAGCUCGGACUACUUCAGCGACGACCUCAACCACUAGCUUUAUUUUUUAUUUUCUAGUUUUGUAUUAUAAACUUAAAUAUAAUUUUUAAAUUAUAUUUCAUAAAUUUUUAAUUAUUUUUAGUUUUUUGGUUCUUUUAUCAUUUUAGUUAUUUUAUAUUUUUAAUUAUUUUUAAAAUUAUUAUUUUUAAAAACAAAAAAAUAGAACAAUGGAAGUAAAUUUGUAGUUACAUUUUCGAGCA
This is a long non-coding RNA of Brassica napus (rape), 1261 nucleotides long. RefSeq lists it as uncharacterized. The transcript has 2 exons. Lineage: Eukaryota; Viridiplantae; Streptophyta; Magnoliopsida; Brassicales; Brassicaceae. The record is from RefSeq and is a predicted model, not a curated record.